AAUUGCCAUUGGAUGCAAUCAGGUUUAUGUACUAUGUGUACAUACUGAAUACUGUCGGAAGUUCUUUUAUCCUGAGCUAAUGCUAAUUAGAAAAGUUUUGUUUAUUAUAUUUUCUUAAAAGUGCCGUUAUAUGAGUAUACUUGGAUAUUUUUAUAGAAUAUAUUUUCAUAAAAGUUCCGCUACAUGAUUUCCAUUUUCUGACCUGUGCUUUGAAUUUAACUGAGUGUAAUUGGAUAUACUCUUGACAUUAGGGUGCAGUAUGUGGUAUAACUCAGUGUGGGUCAGUUGUGGGUCUGUGUCCACAAAGGCACCUUUUCAAAAUCAAUUUUAAAUCAGGAGCUGCUCAAAAAGAAAA
Bactrocera dorsalis (oriental fruit fly) is the source of this 355-nucleotide long non-coding RNA. RefSeq lists it as uncharacterized. The transcript is spliced from 2 exons. The record is from RefSeq and is a predicted model, not a curated record. NCBI's taxonomy places the organism in Eukaryota, Metazoa, Arthropoda, Insecta, Diptera, Tephritidae.